RNAcentral lists this ribosomal RNA (829 nucleotides) under uncultured bacterium. RNAcentral's name for it is "bacterial SSU rRNA". It matches the Rfam family "Bacterial small subunit ribosomal RNA", at positions 59 to 906 of the family's 1533-position model. The record is from RNAcentral.
CAGUCGAACGGACUUGAGAGAGCUUGCUCUCUCAAGUUAGUGGCGGACGGGUGAGUAACACGUGAGCAACCUGCCUUUAAGAGUGGGAUAACGGUCGGAAACGACCGCUAAUACCGCAUAAUAUACAUGAAUCGCAUGGUUUGUGUAUCAAAGAUUUAUCGCUUAAAGAUGGGCUCGCGUCUGAUUAGCUGGUUGGUGAGGUAACGGCUCACCAAGGCGACGAUCAGUAGCCGUACUGAGAGGUAGAACGGCCACAUUGGGACUGAGACACGGCCCAGACUCCUACGGGAGGCAGCAGUGGGGAAUAUUGCACAAUGGAGGAAACUCUGAUGCAGCGAUGCCGCGUGAGGGAAGAGGGUUUUCGGAUUGUAAACCUCUGUCUUAAGGGACGAUAAUGACGGUACCUUAGGAGGAAGCUCCGGCUAACUACGUGCCAGCAGCCGCGGUAAUACGUAGGGAGCGAGCGUUGUCCGGAAUUACUGGGUGCAAAGGGAGUGUAGGCGGGAUGGUAAGUUAGGUGUGAAAUGCGGAGGCUCAACCUCCGAGCUGCACUUAAAACUGCUGUUCUUGAGUGAAGUAGAGGUUGGCGGAAUUCCCAGUGUAGCGGUGAAAUGCGUAGAUAUUGGGAGGAACAUCAGUGGCGAAGGCGGCCAACUGGGCUUUUACUGACGCUGAGGCUCGAAAGCGUGGGGAGCAAACAGGAUUAGAUACCCUGGUAGUCCACGCCGUAAACGAUGAGUGCUAAGUGUUGGGGGUCGAACCUCAGUGCUGAAGUUAACGCAUUAAGCACUCCGCCUGGGGAGUACGUUCGCAAGAAUGAAACUCAAAG